AUUGAACGCUGGCGGCAUGCCUUACACAUGCAAGUCGAACGGCAGCACGGGAGCAAUCCUGGUGGCGAGUGGCGAACGGGUGAGUAAAGUAUCGGAACGUGCCCAGUCGUGGGGGAUAACGUAGCGAAAGUUACGCUAAUACCGCAUACGAUCUAUGGAUGAAAGCGGGGGAUCGCAAGACCUUGCGCGAUUGGAGCGGCCGAUAUCAGAUUAGGUAGUUGGUGGGGUAAAGACUCACCAAGCCGACGAUCUGUAGCUGGUCUGAGAGGACGACCAGCCACACUGGGACUGAGACACGGCCCAGACUCCUACGGGAGGCAGCAGUGGGGAAUUUUGGACAAUGGGCGAAAGCCUGAUCCAGCCAUGCCGCGUGCAGGAUGAAGGCCUUCGGGUUGUAAACUGCUUUUGUACGGAACGAAAAGGUUUGGCCUAAUAAGCUGAGCUCAUGACGGUACCGUAAGAAUAAGCACCGGCUAACUACGUGCCAGCAGCCGCCGCCG
Molecule: ribosomal RNA, 500 nt
Filed under: uncultured bacterium
Lineage: Bacteria
Description: partial 16S ribosomal RNA
Rfam family: Bacterial small subunit ribosomal RNA
Source: RNAcentral